CCUACGGGAGGCAGCAGUGGGGGAUAUUGCACAAUGGGGGGAACCCUGAUGCAGCGACGCCGCGUGGGUGAAGGAGCGUUUCGGCGCGUAAAGCCCUAUCGGCAGGGAAGAAGGAGGACGGUACCUGACCAAGAAGCCCCGGCGAACUACGUGCCAGCAGCCGCGGUAAUACGUAGGGGGCAAGCGUUAUCCGGAUUUACUGGGUGUAACGGGGGCGCAGACGGCAGCGCAAGCCAGGAGUGAAAGCCCGGGGCCCAACCCCGGGACUGCUCUUGGAACUGCGCGGCUGGAGUGCAGGAGGGGCAGGCGGAAUUCGUGGUGUAGCGGUGAAAUGCGUAGAUAUCAGGAGGAACACCGGUGGCGAAGGCGGCCUGCUGGACUGCGACUGACGUUGAGGCCCGAAAGCGUGGGGAGCAAACAGGAUUAGAUACCCUAGUAGUC
RNAcentral lists this ribosomal RNA (441 nucleotides) under uncultured bacterium. Its description in RNAcentral is "partial 16S ribosomal RNA". It matches the Rfam family "Bacterial small subunit ribosomal RNA", at positions 338 to 795 of the family's 1533-position model. The record is from RNAcentral.